UUGGAGGGCAAGUCUGGUGCCAGCAGCCGCGGUAAUUCCAGCUCCAAUAGCGUAUAUUAAAGUUGUUGCAGUUAAAAAGCCCGUAGUUGAAUUUCGAGAUCAAAUUGUUGGUCGUGCCUUGGUACGUACUGGCAUUAUUGAUUUCUCCCUUCUGAAGAACCACGAUGUCAUUAAUUUGGUGUCAUGGGGAAUCAGGACUGUUACUUUGAAAAAAUUAGAGUGUUUAAAGCAGGCUAACGCUUGAAUACAUUAGCAUGGAAUAAUGAAAUAGGACGUUUGAUUCUAUUUUGUUGGUUUCUAGGAUCGACGUAAUGAUUAAUAGGGAUAGUUGGGGGCAUUAGUAUUCAAUUGUCAGAGGUGAAAUUCUUGGAUUUAUUGAAGACUAACUACUGCGAAAGCAUUUGCCAAGGAUGUUUUCAUUAAUCAAGAACGAAAGUUAGGGGAUCGAAGACGAUCAGAUACCGUCGUAGUCUUAACCAUAAACUAUGCCAACUAGGGAUCGGAUGAUGUAAUUUUUAAUGACUCAUUCGGCC
RNAcentral lists this ribosomal RNA (533 nucleotides) under uncultured Glomeraceae. RNAcentral's name for it is "SSU rRNA". It matches the Rfam family "Eukaryotic small subunit ribosomal RNA", at positions 548 to 1085 of the family's 1831-position model. The record is from RNAcentral. Lineage: Eukaryota; Fungi; Glomeromycota; Glomeromycetes; Glomerales; Glomeraceae.